This 3191-nucleotide long non-coding RNA is filed under the name Canis lupus familiaris (dog). RNAcentral describes it as "lncRNA (ENSCAFG00845004394.1)". Lineage: Eukaryota; Metazoa; Chordata; Mammalia; Carnivora; Canidae. The record is from RNAcentral.
AAGACAGCAAGGUUAGGGGUGAGGAAAGUGAACUACAGCUCAGAAUUGAAGGGGCUGGAUCCUGAGAGUGAGUGUUUCACCCUGGGCUUGGGCCUGGUGCAGCCUAAGCUUCAAACCCGAGUCCCAUGAUUGGUCUCUGGUGUUCUACUAAUGAAUGUAUUUUAAAAUAAAACCUCUAAUUACCUGGUGAUGAGCAAAACUAUAUUAUCUUGUAUUUUUAUUAGUAAAAGCAUUAGACAUAAACAUUUGACAUGUGCCAUCAUUUUAUAACUGCCUGGGAAUUUCAUGAUUUUUUUUACAUAGAGCAAAUGCCUGCAAAACUGUAAGUGCUCUGAGCUUCUCAGAAGUGGAGAGGUCUCUAAGCACAGAAAUAGUUUCUUCUUGCUCUGGAGUCUGCUCUGGGUGUAGAUGCCUCAAUCCCUGACCCCUGCCCUCCCCCAUUCACUCGUACAACAGUGCUUGGAACCUAAAGAACGAUGCUCUCAACUUCUCUCUCUCUCUCUCUCUCUCUCUCUCUCUCUCUCUCUCUCGGCCUUCCAAGUCCAACCCCCUGUACACCUCAUCCCUUAUCUACUCCUACUGACCAUUCCCUCAUGUGUUUCAUGGGCCUCCUUGGAUCACAAAGAUUUUCAUCUCCAGGUUUAUGGAGCUCUGUGUUGGCGCGCCAGUGGGGCUUCAUGCAUAAUUAAUGACAAUCCCCCUACACAUGUUUUCUAUUAGCAAUUCAGGCUCUUUCAGGACUUUUUAAAACAUACUUUGCAAUUCGCCAAAAUUCUAAGAGGCAUUUAAAUAGGAAAAAAUCCAUAAAAGCACAGAAUGUCUGGGGUUUCUGGAAGGAGGCUUUAAUGAAGAAUUUCUCCCCAGAGGAGCAUUUCCUGAAAUGCUUUCUGCUCUGCACCACAAGUGUCUCCACAUGAGUACAAGACUAAAUCUCAGGUCUCCUCAAAAACAAUGUCAAUGGAAUUCAUUAAAAAAAAAAAUGGUCCCAGGUUACCAUAACAACCAAGGUUCCAACAUCGUGUUGACUAACUGCAAAGUGAUAUGAUCAGAGAGACCAGAGCAGAGAACAAAAGUAUCAGGUUGCCAUGGCAACUGUGUAUACAGAAAAUGGAGUUGUUUCAAGGGGGAAGUUUCCAGUGCAAAAGUAAAUGUAAAGCAUCCUUCUAGAGUGAAUGAUCACCCAGGAAAAUUUCUACAUGAGUCAAGAGUUGCCCCAUCAUUUUAUUUGGUUGGCAAAGCUCUAAGACAAAAGCUGUAUCAGUUAGUUAUUGCUGUAUAACAAAUAAUCUGAAAACAUAGUGACUUUGAACAAGAACCACCCCCUCCUCCCCGCCCAAGGAGUCUAUGGAUUGGCUGGAAAGUUCUGUGCAUCUGGGCUGAGCUCAGGUUAUCUGUGCCAGGUUCAUAUGAUUUCAUCUGGACUUGUUCAAGAGUCUGCAGGCACUAGCAGGUCAGCUGGGGGCUGACUGACCUAGGAAGGCAUCAGUUGAGAUGACUUGGCUUUGCUCCACAUAGUCUUACACCCUCCAGCAGGUAACCCUGGAUUUGUUUCUCAUGGCCAAAGCCAGACCUCAGAAGACCUCUUGAGCUCUUGAAUCAGAACAGUCAGACCAUCAUUUCUACAACAUUCUACUGACUAAAGCAAAGCACAAGACCAGCCCAGAAUUAAAAGAUAUGGAAAGAGACUCCAUUUCUUGAUGGCAGAGGAUGCCACAACCCAUUGCAAAGGGUGUGGACAGAGGCAGGAGUUGGAGGAUUGGAGGCAUUUCUGCAAACAAUAUGCCAAGAGGCCAACUUUUACAUAUAACAUCCCCUUGAGCUCACACACAAAAGUUGAAUGUGCAAAAGGCAAACAAUCCACCUACAUAUUAAAAGGCUUCCAGAGAGCAGAACAAUAUCGUAAAAUGUCAAAUGAGAGCUCAUGUAUUAGACACAAAUUUUGAUCAUGUAUUUCCAGGAUUUUGUGCUUAUUCUUUAAUUUUUUCCCUUCCUUCAAAACCGAACAGAGUCAAGGGACCACUUGAACCCCACAGGGCAUGUAAUUGAGGCCGGAUAGGAGAUUGCUGAGACAUUCAUUCAUCAGCUGAUGGAGAGAGGCAGUUUGGUGAAGUGAUUAAAAGAGUGGGUUUUGAAGUCAGGCUGUCUGGGUUCCAAUCUUCUCUCAAACCCAAUUUACAUGUAUUUUAGGUAAGAUGCCUGACCUCCAUGAUCUUCACUACCCUCAUCUGGAAAAUGUGGGCAGAAUAUUUUAUUGAUCCUAAGAUACACUUUUCACUUUUCAGUAUCUUUGAAAUUAAUUGGGUUAUAUAACUGAUGCCACAUUCAAGACAGACAUAAAAUGUCAUAUGUCCUAUUCAUGGCAUCUUAGAGUCAAUAAAUAUGGUGGCGCCUGCCUCAAGGGUUGAGUUAAUCUAUGCUGAUUGAUUAGAACAGUGGUCUAUUCCCAGUAAGAGCUCAGUAAAUGUGAGUUAAGAGGAGGAGGAAAAUUCAUGUUUGGUAUAUGUGUAGGUGGUUUAGGAAACCAGACAUAUAAUAUAUGUACAUUCAAGUUGUGCACAGUUUGAAUGUUUGGAAGACGAGGACAGUGUGCAUCUGCUUCUGCACGGAGCCUUUCUGGGAGAAGUGGAUAAAUUGAACUUCUCUGAUUACUAGUUAGUGCUCGCAACAAUUUUUCUUGACUGCAUAUAACCCUCCCAUUAACCAUGGGAGGGCCAUGUCAUCUGCCCAUUUUACUGAAGGAUCAGUGAAGUGGGAAAGGUAUGGUUAGGGUCACAUCAAUUAGUGGCAGAGAGAAUCCACAUACCUCGAUUCCAAACUGUCUUCAUUCAUCUCCUGAGAUAGGAAGAGGCAACAGAGGUGAGCAUGAGGGAUUCUUUGUUUCAAUGCUCAGAAUUAUUGUGUUAAAUGUGAAUGUGGGUUGGUAGCCAGUCAAUGCUGGUUCAGAACCUCUCUCUAGAAGGUGUUCAGAAGCAGUAAUUUGAUUGGAAGCAGGCCUGGGAGCUUUGUGCUAUGGGCUGAAUGUUUGCGUCCCCCUCAAAUUCAUAUGUUGAAAUUCUACCCAAGGGGAUUAGAUGACGAGGGUGGAGCCUCAUGAAGGGGAUGAGUGCCUUUAUUAAAAUAGUCCCUAGAGUCUCCUUCUACCAUAUGAAGUCACAGCCAGAAGAUGGCUGUCUUCAAUGGCCCCUCGCCAG